GGCCUGAUACUGUAGCUCAACUGGUAGAGCACUGCACUGGCAGUGCAGGGAUCAGGAUUCAAGUCUCGUUCAGGCCU
RNAcentral lists this transfer RNA (77 nucleotides) under Acropora cervicornis. RNAcentral describes it as "tRNA-Ala". The stretch from base 6 to 60 matches the Rfam family "tRNA". From Rfam's summary of the family: Transfer RNA (tRNA) molecules are approximately 80 nucleotides in length. Their secondary structure includes four short double-helical elements and three loops (D, anti-codon, and T loops). The record is from RNAcentral. Lineage: Eukaryota; Metazoa; Cnidaria; Anthozoa; Scleractinia; Acroporidae.